This 453-nucleotide ribosomal RNA is filed under the name Triticum aestivum (bread wheat). RNAcentral describes it as "partial small subunit ribosomal RNA". The record is from RNAcentral. Lineage: Eukaryota; Viridiplantae; Streptophyta; Magnoliopsida; Poales; Poaceae.
UUGAGUGGUCUCAUUUGGAACUGAUGAGGGGUGGGCAAGAAGGGAAUGGCCACCUGCCUCUCUGACAUCAUUAGUGACCAUUCCAUUGAUUUUUUUGGGUUACAGGAAACCUUGAAGGAUUUUACACCUAAACUUCUUAGAAAACUUGACCCCUUCAAUUCAUUCCAUUGGGAAUGGAUUCCUGCUAUUGGGAAGUCUGGGGGCAUUCUUUGCGGUAUUCACUUUAGCAACCUGGAGUUGUUGAAAUGCGUUAAGGGGAAUUACAUUCUACAAAUGCAUGUUAAAGAUCUCAGGACCAAGAAUAUCUGGACUUUUCUAGUGAUAUAUGGAUCUGCUCAUGAGGAGCAUAGGGAAGAGUUCCUAAUGGAACUGGCCUCCUUUUGCCAUAACACUUAUGUUCCCUAUAUAGUUGGGGGUGACUUCAAUAUUUUGAGACAUAUCCAAGUCUGUUGA